CUACCCCUCCCGCAAGCGCAAGAGCAAGGUGAUUUGAAAGCAGCUUCAGGCACAGCUUGAGGAAACUGUGGUGCUCCCUGAAACCAAAUAAACUACUAUGAACUUCUGACCUACAAAAGAACAUGUUCUAUCCAGUUUGGAUUAAAGCUCCAUGAGAGCAAGGAUCUUGCCUGUUUUGUUCACUGCUGUUGUGUCAACUACCUAAAACACUGCCUGGCUCUUGGAAGGUAUUGGGGAGCAGUAAAUAAAAGAAGUCAAAAAAGGAAUGAGAUGGUUUAUUACGGAUUAAAUUGAAGGCAGAUUUAUAGUACAUACCAAAGAACGCCUCAUCUGCAUUAAUAUAGUCAUAAAGCAGUCAAAGCUGAUCAUUCCUUCCUGGCUUGAUAGUAGUUUGCUUUUCUCCAUGGAAUUUACAACCGCUGAAGCCCCCAAAGCCAUUUCUAUCCAUUCAAGAAGGUACCGCAAAGAGCCUCGCUGAGCUGCUAAACCAAGUAGCAACUCAGAAGCUAAUCUGCGACCUAAAGUGUCUGCCCCAGAAUUGGGAAUAGUUACUCCUUUAAGAAAUGUUGUCACUUGUGAUAAGCAGUCCAAACCCAUUGGAGGAAUCUUGCUUUCAUUUGCUAAAGAUAAUGGUGGCAAAGAGCUGACAACUUCAAUUGCAGUAUGAAUAACGUCGUUGCAAAGACUAAGACCAGGUCCUGACACAGGCAUCAUCCAACUUUGUCUUAGAAGUGCAAAUAAUAAACUUAGACCAGUUCGAACACCCAUUUCUAUAAGUGCAUCAGUGCUUGACCGGGGACGUUCACUAACAGAAUGGACAUCUGCUGAACCAGAGCUGCUCUCCGGAGAAUGCUGCUGCUGUUUCACUUUGCCUUUGUCAUGGUAUUUAUUAGAAAGUGCAUAAAAGACACGCUGGAGUACAAGCAGUCGUUUUCGAAGUGCCCCAGCAAAUGGGGAAUCUGAACAUACCAUCUUCGCUAGUGCUAGCUGGCUGCUAAGAAGGGCAUCCAAAUAGUGGUCCUGCUCAUCACUUGAAAGAGACUCACGUUCAAAGUCUGGCAACUGUGGUCCUUUGAGGCACAAAACUUGUUGGGGCAAAGGUACUACUUCUUUAUUGCUGACCAGUUUAGAAUACAGAACAGCAACUCCCUCUCUUGUAGCAAUAGAUUCACUAUCCUCUGUAAUCCAGGAGCUGUUCAGGUGUUCAAGCCAUUUCAGUUUCACUGGUGGAACCAUAGUUGCCAUGUUGGUUUACUCUUCAGCCAUUAGUUCUAUAAAGGGAGAUGAAAAAGCAGUCAAAAACUUACACAAUUGAUUCAUAAAAUGUUUCUGAACUUCCAUCUUACAUUACAAUUAGUGAUUUCAAACUGGUGAGACAAAGUCUGAACUGGAAUUAAUAGCAAUGUACCAAUGUUAGUAUUUUAGCUUUGAUAAGUGUACUAUAGUUAUCUAAGAUGCUAAUAUUAAGGGAAAAUGGGUAAAGGGCAUAGGAGAACCCUGCACAAUCUUUGCAACUUUUGUGUAAACCUAAAAUUACCCCAAAAUAAAGUUUAUUAUUAAAAAUUA
This is a long non-coding RNA of Felis catus (domestic cat), 1566 nucleotides long. RefSeq lists it as uncharacterized. Lineage: Eukaryota; Metazoa; Chordata; Mammalia; Carnivora; Felidae. The record is from RefSeq and is a predicted model, not a curated record. The transcript is spliced from 3 exons.